RNAcentral lists this long non-coding RNA (243 nucleotides) under Malus domestica (apple). RNAcentral describes it as "long non-coding RNA (MDOM_LNC017607)". Lineage: Eukaryota; Viridiplantae; Streptophyta; Magnoliopsida; Rosales; Rosaceae. The record is from RNAcentral.
CUAAAAUGAGACUGGUGAGGAUGGAAAUCUUUCCUUUUUCCCUGAGAUUGAUAUGUCUGUUAACUUAGCAAAGUAUUAAGUAAGGCAGGGGAAGGCACUGCUGCCGUUUGCAAGGUCAAGGUCUUCUCAUUUGGUUGGAUCUGGCUUCCACUCCCUACUUACUGAUAAGGGGUGGCUAUGGGGGGUUUCCCUUGAUAUGUCCUUGCCUCGGCGGAGGCAUGGUUGUAAGCAUGUGUCAUCAUC